RNAcentral lists this long non-coding RNA (572 nucleotides) under Bos indicus x Bos taurus (hybrid cattle). Its description in RNAcentral is "lncRNA (ENSBIXG00000016530.1)". The record is from RNAcentral. Lineage: Eukaryota; Metazoa; Chordata; Mammalia; Artiodactyla; Bovidae.
AGAUUUCUCCCUCCCCUCUCUCCUGCGUUUUAAGCAAAGAGACAUCCUAAAAUAGGGCAUUUUUUUCCUCUUCCUUUUUUUUUUGACAGACAACUUCUGUGUAAAUGUUGAAAUCUGUGUUGUCUGUUAGAAGCAGUCAAUCUGAAAACUUUGCUGAAGAGAAUGUAUAUUUAGUAACGGGUGACAAAGAGAGGAAGAUAUUGAGAUGUCAAUUAUUCUGUGUACCAGUGCUUGUGCUUAGCCCUGGGAAUACACAGACAAACAAAGCGAGCUUGUGCCGGAGCUGGAGGAAGGACACAGAGAGCGAUCGCAUCCCGACAGAGAAGUGAGGGGUGAGAGGCAAUACCACAAAGGUACUGAGGACAAUUCCCAGCAACGAGCAUGACAUCAGCGCAUCUUAACCACUGACUUUCUUGUUGCUAUGACACGACUGGUAAGUGACAAGGGCAAGGAUCCCUCUUGGGUCCUCCUAGAAGCCAUGCAUGUUUCAUCAUUUCCCACUAGGUACUCUGAAACUCCAACCUUUGGGAAGAGGAUGAUAUUAUCUAAUAAACAUCAAGCCAAGGCUUACA